AUGGGAUCUCCAGCCUUGCCGCUCUGUCUCCUUUUACUGUGGCUCUCAGAUGUCACUGGUGAAACUAUAACACAGUCUCCAGCCUUCCUGAGUCUUUCUCCUGGUGAAACAGCCACUCUGACAUGCAGAUCCAGUGAGAAUGUUGGCAGCUCCUUAGCUUGGUACCAGCAGAAACCUGGACAGGUUCCCAGGCUUCUUAUCUAUGCUGCAUCCACCAGGGUCAGUGAUGUCCCAGCCCGGUUCAGUGGUAGUGGGUCUGGUACAGAUUUCACUCUCACCGUCAGCAGCCUAGAACCAGAGGAUGCUGCAGUUUAUUACUGUGAGACUUACAAAAGAUGA
Molecule: non-coding RNA, 339 nt
Organism: Phodopus roborovskii (desert hamster)
Lineage: Eukaryota; Metazoa; Chordata; Mammalia; Rodentia; Cricetidae
Source: the annotation of a RefSeq genome assembly